UAGGGAAUCUUCCACAAUGGACGCAAGUCUGAUGGAGCAACGCCGCGUGAGUGAAGAAGGUUUUCGGAUCGUAAAGCUCUGUUGUCGGUGAAGAAGGAUAGAGGCAGUAACUGGUCUUUAUUUGACGGUAAUCAACCAGAAAGUCACGGCUAACUACGUGCCAGCAGCCGCGGUAAUACGUAGGUGGCAAGCGUUGUCCGGAUUUAUUGGGCGUAAAGCGAGCGCAGGCGGAAUGAUAAGUCUGAUGUGAAAGCCCACGGCUCAACCGUGGAACGGCAUCGGAAACUGUCAUUCUUGAGUGCGGAAGAGGAAAGUGGAAUUCCAUGUGUAGCGGUGGAAUGCGUAGAUAUAUGGAAGAACACCAGUGGCGAAGGCGGCUCUCUGGUCUGCAACUGACGCUGAGGCUCGAAAGCAUGGGUAGCGAACAGG
RNAcentral lists this ribosomal RNA (429 nucleotides) under Bacillota bacterium. RNAcentral's name for it is "Firmicutes bacterium partial 16S ribosomal RNA". It matches the Rfam family "Bacterial small subunit ribosomal RNA", at positions 355 to 776 of the family's 1533-position model. The record is from RNAcentral. Lineage: Bacteria; Bacillati; Bacillota.